This 1834-nucleotide long non-coding RNA is filed under the name Vitis vinifera (wine grape). RNAcentral describes it as "long non-coding RNA (VVIN_LNC004293)". Lineage: Eukaryota; Viridiplantae; Streptophyta; Magnoliopsida; Vitales; Vitaceae. The record is from RNAcentral.
CUAUCACAACACCGACAUCUAAUCAAAUGGGCUAAGUGGGUCAGGUGCACAGUUCACGGGCGACGCCCAGCCUUGAAUUGGGGACAUCGUAGAGGAGCCUGUGGUUCUGCUGCUGCAAGUUGGCAAUGACGUUCAGCACCGAGUUCACGUUGUCAGGGGCGGCUGCCAUGGCCAGGCAGGUCGUGCUGCCGGCGGUGCUGUGAAUCAGCAGGUUAUCCGGUGGCAGCGUCACGUUCAUGCCCGUGAACAUGAAGGUUAUCGUGGGCGCUGCUAUGGGCACCGUGUAGCAUGUGUCGAAUCCCCCCAGUGACGUUACUGUCAAGUUCCUCCCCACCCUGUUUCUGAACGCGUCUCUCACUGCUAUGUACGCCGGCGUUACGAGCCUCGUGAACACCGUCCCUGGUUCACAACCCUCUUUGUAAUUAUACUUCCAUUCGUUUACAAAACUAAAUCAUUCCUUAAUUCCCUUUCUUCAGUUAUAAUUCAAAAUUUUCAAUUUUAAAUGAAAAUGAUAAGUUCACUAUAGUUAAUUUCUUCGAAUUGUUUUCCGACGGAUAUCACAAAAUAUCAUAUUUAUCGACCGAUAUUAUAUCCGAAAAAGCAAUUCGAUAAAUCUAACUAAAGUACUCGGCAUUACUCACUAUUAAAAUAAAAUGUUUAAAUUUUAAACCAUUAAUUAUGUUAAUUUUUUUUAUCACUUCAUGUGAUAGGUGAUUGUUAAAGGUCUUUUAAUGAUUACCUAUCACAUCAAUGAGAUAUAGAAUAUGAUAAAGUAUGGCAAUAAUGUUAAUAAGUAUUAACAUUAAUACCUAUAUUGUAUAUGCAGUAGUGUUUACAAUUUUUUUAAGUAUGGAGGAAAAUUAACUAGAGAAAUAAAGAUUUUGUGAAUAGAAAAGGUUACCGGAGUCAAAGAUGGUGCCGGCACCGGUGGAGGGGUUGAAGGUGAAGGAGCCUGGAGGGACGUCCACAACUCUCCGGCCGACCCUAACUGCCAUAAGGUUGACAAAGUAAAGUGAUGGUCUUCUAGGGUUCUUGAGCAAUGGGGUGUACUUGAUCCUCUUGGGCUGCCCAACUGGGCCCAACCUCAGCGACCCAGAGAAGUUGAGGGACUUGAAGCUAGGCAAGCAGUAGGAGAAUGUGGAUUGGUAUAGGUUUUGGGUCUGGGACAGCAACGACAAGGGGCCUCGGCCCAGGCCCAGGAGGCCCUGCGCCGGUAGGGAUCCGCCGGUGGCCUUUUGUAUGCAACCGAAGCUGUAGCCGGGGACUGCAUCGGUGGCUAGGGUGAUGGUGUCCUGUGAGAGGUUGGCUGCUAAGGAGGAGCCACCAUAGGUGAGGUUGAAUGAGCACACCCCCCCACCGCAUGUGGGUUUUGGCACCUGAAAUUACGCGAAGAUCAUAGAAGUUAAAAAGUCUUUUUUUAUAUAAAGGCCCUGGUGACAUGUCAAGAAAAAAACAAAGGAAACAACACUCGGAGAUGUGAGUAAUGGUGAGAGUAAAUGCAGUACCUGCUUACACUGAGCAGCUUGGCAGCCAAGGGACUUGUAGGUAGUAGAGGCAGGAGAGUUAAAGAGAGUGGAGGAGCAGCCCAGACAGCCAUUGCAAGGAAUCCAAGCAACAUCACUGCUGGUGUCCAUGGCCAUGAGCAUGGUUUGAGCAGGAGUUCCAAUCUUAGCCCUCACAAUAUAAGUUGGGUUCUGGACGAUCUGCCUGCCUGAAGCAAUAGGCACUACAGAUUUGCGGGCGACAAGGCUAGAUAAAAACUGGAGCCUGGCCUUGUCCUUGGCCUGCAUUUGGAGCACACUCUCCUCCCAGGACAGUGGCUCUUUUGGCCUGA